This 510-nucleotide ribosomal RNA is filed under the name uncultured bacterium. RNAcentral describes it as "partial 16S ribosomal RNA". It matches the Rfam family "Bacterial small subunit ribosomal RNA", at positions 28 to 507 of the family's 1533-position model. The record is from RNAcentral.
GACGAACGCUGGCGGCGUGCUUAACACAUGCAAGUCGAACGAAGAGCGACGGAAGCUUGCUUCUAUCAAUCUUAGUGGCGAACGGGUGAGUAACGCGUAAUCGACCUGCCCUUCAGAGGGGGACAACAGUUGGAAACGACUGCUAAUACUGCAUACGAUCUAACCUCGGCAUCGAGGAUAGAUGAAAGGUGGCCUCUACAUGUAAGCUAUCACUGAAGGAGGGGAUUGCGUCUGAUUAGCUAGUUGGAGGGGUAACGGCCCACCAAGGCGAUGAUCAGUAGCCGGUCUGAGAGGAUGAACGGCCACAUUGGGACUGAGACACGGCCCAGACUCCUACGGGAGGCAGCAGUGGGGAAUCUUCCGCAAUGGACGAAAGUCUGACGGAGCAACGCCGCGUGAGUGAUGACGGCCUUCGGGUUGUAAAGCUCUGUUAAUCGGGACGAAAGGCCUUCUUGCGAAUAGUGAGAAGGAUUGACGGUACCGGAAUAGAAAGCCACGGCUAACUACGUG